This 432-nucleotide ribosomal RNA is filed under the name uncultured bacterium. Its description in RNAcentral is "partial 16S ribosomal RNA". It matches the Rfam family "Bacterial small subunit ribosomal RNA", at positions 29 to 506 of the family's 1533-position model. The record is from RNAcentral.
AACGAACGCUGGCGGCAUGCCUAACACAUGCAAGUCGAACGAGACCUUCGGGUCUAGUGGCGCACGGGUGCGUAACGCGUGGGAACCUGCCCUUAGGUUCGGAAUAACUCCCCGAAAGGGGUGCUAAUACCGGAUAAUGUCUUCGGACCAAAGAUUUAUCGCCUUUGGAUGGGCCCGCGUUGGAUUAGCUAGUUGGUAGGGUAAAAGCCUACCAAGGCGACGAUCCAUAGCUGGUCUGAGAGGAUGAUCAGCCACACUGGGACUGAGACACGGCCCAGACUCCUACGGGAGGCAGCAGUGGGGAAUAUUGGACAAUGGGCGAAAGCCUGAUCCAGCAAUGCCGGGUGAGUGAUGAAGGCCUUAGGGUUGUAAAGCUCUUUUACCCGGGAUGAUAAUGACAGUACCGGGAGAAUAAGCUCCGGCUAACUCCGU